RNAcentral lists this ribosomal RNA (551 nucleotides) under Nassarius sp. 408 LAG-2016. RNAcentral describes it as "partial 12S ribosomal RNA". The record is from RNAcentral. Lineage: Eukaryota; Metazoa; Mollusca; Gastropoda; Neogastropoda; Nassariidae.
CGCGGUUAUACCAAGUGAUUAAGUUAUAUUCAUAGGUAAAAAGACAGUUAGGUUUAAAAUAAAUUAGUUUAUUUAACAUCUAUAAAAAAGUAAAAUUUGUAUAUAGAUAGCUAAUCUAGAAAUAACAGUAAAUAUGCUGAAGCUGUGAUAGUCUUGAGGGAAACUGGGAUUAGAUACCCCAUUAUUCUUGAUUGUAAAUAUAAUUAAAUUUACCAGAGUACUAUGAAUAGCUAAAAAUUUAAAACUCAAAGGGCUUGGCGGUGUUUUAGACCUAUCAGGGGAACCUGUCUCGUAAUCGACAAUCCGCGUUAUAUCUAACCUUAUUUUGUAAUCAGUUUGUAUACCGUCGUCGUCAGGUAACUUUUAAAAAUAUAGAAGUUAGCAAUUAAAAUCAUAUAAAUUAAAACGUCAGAUCAAGGUGCAGCCUAUAAUAAGGAGAGGAUGGGUUACAAUUAUAAAAAUUAUAAUUACGGAAAUUUAAGUGAAAUUAUUAUUUUGAAGGAGGACUUGAAAGUAAACUAAAAUAUAUAAGUAGUUUGAAUAAGGCUCUG